This 468-nucleotide ribosomal RNA is filed under the name uncultured bacterium. RNAcentral's name for it is "partial 16S ribosomal RNA". It matches the Rfam family "Bacterial small subunit ribosomal RNA", at positions 28 to 507 of the family's 1533-position model. The record is from RNAcentral.
GACGAACGCUGGCGGCGUGCUUAACACAUGCAAGUCGAACGGAAAGGCCCUGCUUUUGUGGGGUGCUCGAGUGGCGAACGGGUGAGUAACACGUGAGUAACCUGCCCUUGACUUUGGGAUAACUUCAGGAAACUGGGGCUAAUACCGGAUAGGAGCUCCUGCUGCAUGGUGGGGGUUGGAAAGUUUCGGCGGUUGGGGAUGGGCUCGCGGCUUAUCCGCUUGUUGGUGGGGUAGGGGCUUACCAAGGCUUUGACGGGUAGCCGGCCUGAGAGGGUGACCGGCCACAUUGGGACUGAGAUACGGCCCAGACGCCUACGGGAGGCAGCAGGGGGGAAUAUUGCACAAUGGGCGGAAGUCUGAGGCAGAAACGCCGCGUGCGGGAUGACGGGCUUCGGGUUGUAAACCGCUUUCGCCUGUGACGAAGCGUGAGUGACGGUAAUGGGUAAAGAAGCACCGGCUAACUACGUG